RNAcentral lists this long non-coding RNA (916 nucleotides) under Monodelphis domestica (gray short-tailed opossum). RNAcentral describes it as "lncRNA (ENSMODG00000037057.1)". Lineage: Eukaryota; Metazoa; Chordata; Mammalia; Didelphimorphia; Didelphidae. The record is from RNAcentral.
AGAGUAAAAAGGAAAGAAAUUAUAUUAAAAAGCUAUCAAAAUAUUAAAAAAAACAAUUCAUGCUUUCUAGGUUAAGAACUUCUGGUUUAGAAUAAUUUACUGGAUGACAUAUCCAUAAUGAAUGAAUAGAAAUAUUUUAUUAAGCUCUUUCUCUAUGCCAAAUACUGCUCAAUUAAAAGACACAAAUACAAAAGCAAAUGCAGUUCCUUCCAUCAAGAUGCCAUAUUCUAGUGGAAAAAGAGAUUCCAUAUAUAAGGAAGUUAUAAUCAGGCAGAGGGAUUUUAUACAGAAACUUACAGAGAAGAAGCAGAAGAGUAGGGGAAUUAAGGCCAUACAAGGAGGUCAGCAAAUCAACUGAUGAGAAGAUGGCAGAAUGGAUGCUAAGGAGAGGAAACUUAGACUCAAUCUGUCAGAGGAACAAGACAAGCCAGGGAAAGGCAAGAGGAAUAGAGAAUUCCAGAGGAAGAACAGAGAAGAGCUGAGAAAAUCCAAGCAGUUCACUUCACUUCAAUUUGGGAAGCACCUCAGAAAGGUUGCUCUGAAAGCACCUCUGAGCCCUGGUCAUCUUUCUGUGAAUCUAGACCCCUGAAUCCAGCAGAAGACAACAGGAGUGGAUAGCACUUUUGAUAUAAAGCUGCCCACCUCAAGAAGACUUCCUCUCCAUCUCUCCAAAGCUGUUCUGAACUUCAAAUCAUAGCUAGGACACUUAGAAGUCAGGACAGCUCUCACAAUUGACCCCAAAGGGUCAGGCAGGCAAAGCCUGACCCCAUAGGAUUUGGGGAGAAGGGGUUCAAUUGUUAGGUAUUAGGGAAUUCCUAUUUCCCACUUUCCCAAUACCUUAUCCCUCAAUCUCACUUCCUUACCCUUUGUGUGUUCCUCAAAUAAAUAGCUCUUUCUAUAGACCUAGUGCCUGCUC